GACGAACGCUGGCGGCGUGCUUAACACAUGCAAGUCGAACGGAAAGGCCCUGCUUGCAGGGUACUCGAGUGGCGAACGGGUGAGUAACACGUGGGUGAUCUGCCCUGCACUUCGGGAUAAGCCUGGGAAACUGGGUCUAAUACCGGAGAGGAGCCAUUUUUAGUGUGAUGGUUGGAAAGUUUUUUCGGUGUAGGAUGAGCUCGCGGCCUAUCAGCUUGUUGGUGGGGUAAUGGCCUACCAAGGCGGCGACGGGUAGCCGGCCUGAGAGGGUGGACGGCCACAUUGGGGCUGAGAUACGGCCCAGACUCCUACGGGAGGCAGCAGUGGGGAAUAUUGCACAAUGGGCGCAAGCCUGAUGCAGCGACGCCGCGUGGGGGAUGACGGCCUUCGGGUUGUAAACUCCUUUCGCUAGGGACGAAGCUUUUUGUGACGGUACCUAGAUAAGAAGCACCGGCUAACUACGUG
RNAcentral lists this ribosomal RNA (465 nucleotides) under uncultured bacterium. RNAcentral describes it as "partial 16S ribosomal RNA". It matches the Rfam family "Bacterial small subunit ribosomal RNA", at positions 28 to 507 of the family's 1533-position model. The record is from RNAcentral.